UGCUCAUAAGGUGUUCGACAAAAUGUUUCUUCCAACAGUAGGUUUAAAUUCGUGCACUUUAUUUCACAUAAUGUUUGCUUGUCUUAUCUUUUGCAAUUGCUAUAAGUUUUGUUCUUCAUUUGAAUGAAAUUAGGCUAGGGUAGAUUAGCUUUCUUUAAUGCUCUAAGUUACAUUCCAUGCUUAGUUUCAUUACAUGCUUAGUUUCAAUAUCGCUACUAGUAUUUCAUGUUUGGAAAUAGAUUUAAGCGAGAAGUUUGCAGGCUGACGACAUCUUUGCCAUGUGCAAUUCAAUCUUUGUAGGAUCUUGAAGCACAAACAAAGUGAUUGUUUGUGCUUUAUCUAAGUGAUUGUUUGAACAGUUUUAUAGCAUGCAUCUUGACAAUUAAUAUAAUUUUGAAGAUCACUAUCAAGGAAGAAUGUUCAAAGGAAAGUAAAGGCUAAGGAGAAGAUCACGUAAUUAACUACACGGGUCUAGUGAAAAUACUGAAGAAGUAUGACAAGAGAACAGAAGCACUUAUCAGGCAGCCCUUCAUCGAAAAGCAGAAUGUGACGGACAAAAUGGAGUGCCAAAGCCGGCACAAUCAGGUGGGAGGGUUCCGGAGUUGGAGGAGAUUAAAUAUAUGCAGAGCUUAUACAUGAAGAGCACCGUAGCAGCGCUGCGGUCCUUGAAACAGAUUAGGAGCAAAAGUUCAACAGUCAAAACAGAUUAGAAAAU
This is a long non-coding RNA of Zingiber officinale, 715 nucleotides long. RefSeq lists it as uncharacterized. The transcript has 3 exons. Lineage: Eukaryota; Viridiplantae; Streptophyta; Magnoliopsida; Zingiberales; Zingiberaceae. The record is from RefSeq and is a predicted model, not a curated record.